This 460-nucleotide ribosomal RNA is filed under the name uncultured bacterium. RNAcentral's name for it is "partial 16S ribosomal RNA". It matches the Rfam family "Bacterial small subunit ribosomal RNA", at positions 338 to 795 of the family's 1533-position model. The record is from RNAcentral.
CCUACGGGAGACAGCAGUGAGGAAUAUUGGACAAUGGAGGAGAGCCUGAACCAGCGAAGUAGCGUGAAGGAUGACUGCCCUAUGGGUUGUAAACUUCUUCUAUAUGGGAAUAAUAUGGUCCACGGGAGGGAUGUUGUAAGUACCAUAAGAAGAAGGAUCGGCUAACUCCGUGCCAGCCGCCGCGGUAAUAAGGAGGAUACGAGCGUUCUCCGGAUUUAAUGGGUAUAAAGGGAUCGUAGGGGGAUUGGUAAGUCAGUUGUGAAAGUUUGCGGCUCAACCGUAAAAUUGCAGUUGAAACUGGCAGUCUUGAGUACAGUAGAGGUGGGCGGAAUUCGUGGUGUAGCGGUGAAAUGCGUAGAUAUUACGAAGAACUCCGAUUGCGAAGGCAGUUCACUGGACUGCAACUGACACUGAGGCUCGAAAGUGUGGGUAUCAAACAGGAUUAGAUACCCGAGUAGUC